GAUGAACGCUGGCGGCGUGCUUAACACAUGCAAGUCGAACGAGAAGUGAAGACGGAAACCUUCGGGCGGAAGGCUUUAUUUCGAGUGGCGGACGGGUGAGUAACGCGUGGGUAACCUGCCUCAUACAGGGGGAUAACAGUUGGAAACGACUGUUAAUACCGCAUAAGACCACAGCACCGCAUGGUGCGGGGGUAAAAACUCCGGUGGUAUGAGAUGGACCCGCGUUCGAUUAGCCAGUUGGCGAGGUAACGGCCCACCAAAGCGACGAUCGAUAGCCGAUCUGAGAGGAUGACCGGCCACAUUGGGACUGAGACACGGCCCAAACUCCUACGGGAGGCAGCAGUGGGGAAUAUUGCACAAUGGGGGAAACCCUGAUGCAGCGACGCCGCGUGAGUGAAGAAGUAUUUCGGUAUGUAAAGCUCUAUCAGCAGGGAAGAAAAUGACGGUACCUGAGUAAGAAGCCCCGGCUAACUACGUG
This 478-nucleotide ribosomal RNA is filed under the name uncultured bacterium. Its description in RNAcentral is "partial 16S ribosomal RNA". It matches the Rfam family "Bacterial small subunit ribosomal RNA", at positions 28 to 507 of the family's 1533-position model. The record is from RNAcentral.